This is a non-coding RNA of Benincasa hispida (wax gourd), 1155 nucleotides long. Lineage: Eukaryota; Viridiplantae; Streptophyta; Magnoliopsida; Cucurbitales; Cucurbitaceae. The record is from RefSeq and is a predicted model, not a curated record.
AAAAGACCCUUUUAAUAACAUCUUAAUAUAGCAUCUUAUAAAAUAUGCUAUUAAAAAUAGAAGGAAAAGGCAGGAUGGGAAAAAAAUUAGGUCGCGUGUACGCAUCUUCCCUCUUCCACAUACGGUUCUUCCCCAUUUUCCCUCUUCCACUGUUCUCCUUCUGCCCAUGUUCUUGCUUCCGUUGUUCUUCCCAAUUUUCUCUCUUUUUCCUCUCUCUCUCUUGCAUUUUCUCCGCUCGUCUCUCCAUCUUCUACUCCGCUCGUGCACCAUCUACAUCAUUCGCCCAAAUCUGCAGUCUACAACUCCACCAUUCGCCCAAGUCCGCCAUCUCCUUGAGACCCACUAUUCUAAUGUUCCUUUUUCACCAUUUCAUCAAUUAAAAGUAGCUUUUGUGAGACUGUUCUAAGGUGAGUCUGAGAAGUUUUCAUUAUUUUACAUUUGUAUUUUUUUCUGCUUUAUUUGUUUAGUUGUGAGAUUAAUGGGUUUUUGAAGCUGUUUGAUUCUGGUUAUUCUGACAUUUUUUUUUUGGUGAUUCCUUGGGCCAAUCAAACGCUGUGAAUCAUAAUGCGGGGGUUUGAGCAUAGAAGAUUCAAGUAGAACAGUAAGAGGAGUUGAAGUUUGAACCACAACCUCGAAAAGCAUCGUUCGAUUACUGUGGUAUUUCUUUUCUUUUUAUGGAUCUUGUAAUUUGGGCAGCUGGGAUAUUGCUGGUUUUGAAAUUUUUGUAAUGAAAUUUGAAUUUUAAGUCGUUUGUUUGGGUUUUCGAAUCACUUAAACGUGAAAGAGAGAGAUUCCAUGGGGAAGCUGAGUUUAUUCAUACAUUGUCAAAGGAUUUUUGGGUGCUUGAUCUUAAAAAAUAAUCGUGAUUACAAGCUAUUAUUGGGUCAGAGGUAUGCUCGAAAUCUAGCAUUUACUACGUAGGUUGAGCAAGUAAGGAUUUGGUAUUGAGGCCUCUUUGUGCCUCCUCUUGGGGAACUCUAUAUCCAAAACAUGAUGUAUUUGAGAUCCAAAGUUUGAUUAUAAAACUUGAUUUGUAAGCACUAUUUUAGUUUAGUUUUUUAGUUUGUUUGUAGAUAUGUAGCGCUACAAACCCAUAUAAAAUUUGUCUCGUUACUACCAAAAUUAUUUACCAAUUUGCAUCUUCAUGUUCUGUAA